UCCUCUUGUUUUCUUCAUCCUUGAUUCUGGUAGGGCAUGCAUGCAUGUUAUAAUCCAGGUGCUUGCAGUACAAACAAUAAUGAGAGAUAUUUUCAUAUUAGAUUUCAAGCCAUUUCCCUUCUCCAUUAUCAUCAUGAUUGUCAUCAAACCCCAGCCACACAUGAUGAGGCCUAGAUCUGGUCAAGUCAAACUCUACUUUAACUUUGACCACACUUUUUCUAAUCUUUUGAAAGGAUGCUAAGUCAAAAUGCAAAAUUGUUCCUACGGGAGAUAAGAGACCUAUGAGAAUCUCCAUGUAGUAGAAAUUCCAAGGUAGUUCUGGUUUAACAACCCAUAUAGGAACUAUAGGUGAGCCUUUAGUGGGAUUGAAAGUAGGAGUCCAGGCUUCCAAUUUCAUCUUUGCCCUUAUAUGUACAUGAAUUGUCUAGUCCAAACAGUGAAAUGAUCAUACUCAUUGCCUAAAUCAAUGUUGACGGUUCUAGCAUUGAACUGAGCAAUUUUAACUCCUCCUUGUAGUUUAGUUUGAGCCACAAAAUUUCUUCUGAUAACUUCCAUCCUAGGCAUAAUAUUAGAGAACAUUGCAACCACAAUGAAUUUACAUCUAGUUUCAAGUUUAACCAUGUGAUCUUCUCUAGUGAAGUGGACAAAAGGCUAGCUUUGCUUUGUGGUGAUCCUUGGAGGUGUGAACUCUAUAGGUUCUCUUUCUGCUUCAUGUCUAGCUCUGAGUUUGUUAACAUAUGAAUUGUAACAAUGGGUGGUAGGGGUGGAUUGGUGAUUAGCUCUUUAGGUUUGGAGUUGUCUUCAGGAUUUUGUGGUUUGGUAUAGUUGUUACUGGAGUUGAUUUCCGAGAGGGCUAUUGUAUGUGAGUUUUUGGAUUGACUGUUGUUAUGACCCGACCAAUAAUUUUGAGAAUUUGUGUCACAUUCAGUGGUUUAAGGUCUCGAGCAGCUUCGUAUCAUAUAUUAUGACUUGUGUGUGUGGUCAAGUUCGGUUUUCGAAUGAUUCGGGAUUGAUUUGGAAAAAUAAUUUUUAUUGUAGAAGCUUAAGUGAAAAGAGUUUACCGGAGUUUGAAUUUUGUGUAGACGACUCCGGAAUGGUAUUUUAAUGAUUCCAAUAGCUUCGUAUGAUGAUUUUGGACUUAGGCGUAUGCCCGGAUUUGGAUUUGGAGCUUAGUAGGUUGAUUUGAUGCAUUUUGGCGAAAGUUGAAAAAUUGAAAUGUUUGACCGGGAGUUGACUUUGUUGAUAUCGGUUCGGAUUGCGAUUAUGGGAGUUGAAAUAGCUUCGUUAUGUCAUUUAGGAUUUGCAUGCAAAAUUUGACGUCAUUCCGGGUUGAUUUGAUAUGAUUCUGCAUGAGUCAUAGAAGUUGAAAGUUAAUAAGUUCAUUAAGUUUGAUUUGAGGUGCGAUUCGUAGUUUUGAUGUUGUUUGAUGUGAUUUGAGACCUCGAGCAAGUCCGCAUUAUGCUAUGGGACUUGUUGGUAUGUUAGGACGGGGUCCCGAGGGGCUCGGGUGAGUAUCGGGGUGGUUUAGACCAUUUCUAGGUCAUUUUUAGUUGCUGGUUUUUGACCACAGGGGUAUGCAUCGUGAUCGCGGACAUUGGGUCGCGUUUGCGAAGAGCAAUUUUGCUAUUUGGGCACUGUGAAUCGCGAUCACGGAAGCACUUUCACGAUAACGUUGAGGAAAAUUCUGCUACACUGACCUGACUUUGGCAGCUUAUAUCUUGCAAUCUAUAAGGAAUUUGGAGAUGAUCUAAAAAUAAAAGUUCUUGCCCUUUAUGUCUAGUUUUCAGAAAAUUAAACCGUUUGGCAUUUCGAGUUGUGUAAAAAAGGUAUAAACUACAGGCUAUCUAGGAAGAGUUUUGAAAUCGUUGUUGAAGAAUUUAUCCAUCCUCACUUUGGAAGCUUAUAUCUUGCAAUCUAUAAGGAAUUUAGAGAUGACCUAAAAAUGAAAGUUGUAGCCCUUCGUGUCUAGUUUUCGAAAAAUCAAAUUUUGGUCAUUUGGAUUUUUGCAAAAAAUGUUAUGGCUAUUAUACUACAUGCUGUCUGAGAAGCAUUUGGGAAGAGUUAAUAGAAUUUGUUCAUCGCGAUGCGGGGAAAUGGCCGUGAUCGCAUAGAGUAAAAUUGUUCUGGAAAAUUUGUGCUUCGCGAUCGUGAAGGGUAAAUCCCUGGGCAGCAGAACUUAAGUUCUGAAAAUGAGAUUUCGUCUCAUUUUUCUAUUUUUGGAAUUUUUAGCUCAGUGUGAGGCGAUUUCUCGGGAUAUUUUCAAGGAAUACAUUGGGGUAACAAUUCCUAACUCGAUUUUGGUUAAAUUACACUAAUCAAUUGUUAUUUUUAUUGACAAAUUAGUGAAUUGGGUUGAAAAUGGUAGAAUUUUUCUAGACUUUAAAUUGAGGAUUUGGAGGUCGAGUUAAUGUCGAAAUUUGGUAAAUUUGGUAUGGUUGGACUCGUGGUUGAAUGGGCGUUCGUAUUUUAUAACUUUUGUCGGAUUUCGAGGCAUGGGCCUCAUGUUGACUUUCGGGUUGACUUUUUAGUCUUAAAUUAAAAGGCAAAGUUUUAUUAAUCGAAAUUGUUUCCUAUGAAUUUUAAUGAUGUUAUGAAAUUAUUUUUGGCUAGAUUUGAGCCGUCCAGAUGUCGUUCAACGCGAGAAACCCAUUUUGGAGUAUCGACUAACUUCGUAAAGGUAAGUAUCUUGCCUAACCUUAUGUGAGGGAUGUACCCCUUAGGGAUUGAGUCUUAUGUGAAAUUUGUGUAAUGUGAAAGUCGUGUACGUGAAGUGACAAGUACGUACUCGGGCUUAUAUGUGCAAAUUUUAUCGGUUUAAGCUCUUAGGCUUCUUUUAUGUAUAAAUUGGAGAUCAUGGGCACACAUUAUAUCCUUUAUUUGCCAUGUUCAUCAUUACAUGCUUUAUCUAUAAAUCGUUGUUACCUGCCGCAUUCUUUACUGGCCAAGUUUGUUUUUAUAUGCUUAUUUGGACUUGAUACUACUUUAGCAUCUACAUGAAACCUGUGAUUGUUGAGUUGCCACUUUGUGGAAGAUAUUUUCAUUAUUGAGUUUUUCCUUAAUUAAAUAAUUGGAAUUUAAGUAAUUAAGAGGCAUUAGUUUAAUUUAUUUGAGGUUGUGUUUAAAAGAGAUAUUGUUGUUAUUGAGAUUUUAUAUAUGUCGUGUUGAGUCGUGGGCUAUCUAUUGUGAAAUUAUUUGAUAUCGUUGAACCUUUGGAAAGGUUGUGGCCCACAGAAAUUUGUAAUACGAGUUGAUUAUGUGGUGUUGUUAUGAUAAUAGCACGUGUGAAUUGUUGUGUGAUUUGUAUUAUUGCUUUGCUGAGUAUAAGAGUGGCAUUCCAUUGUUGUAAUUAUGCGGGGCAUAAGGGUGGCAUUUCAAUAUUGUUUUAUGUGUUUUAAUGUUGUCCGGGCGGAGUGAUAACGGUAGCUAUUAUACGAAGUGAUAAGGGAGGCUAUUAUACAGAGAGAUAAGAGUGGUUAUAGGAUAGAUAAGGGUGACUAUUGAUAUUGUUUGGGCGGAGUGAUACAGGUGGCUAUAAGAGAGAUAAGGGUGGCAAUGUUAGGGAUGAUAUGUGAUGAUGUGGGGUUAUUGUGUUAGUGAUUUUUAUGUGAUGGUGUUGCAUUAUUGUGUUGGUGAUUUUGUAUGAUGUUGUGAUUGUCCUUGUGUUUGUUAUACACCUUGUGUAACUUGACUUGUGUUUUCGGUUAGCUACACCUGAGUUGUCCGUGCGAUUUUGAAAGAGAUAUGGGCACGAGGUGCCGUGAAAAUAAGAAAGUAGGUUGAGACUCGUGUUUUAUGAUUAUGAGAUGAGGUAUCACGGAGUGACUUUGUUGUGGAAAAACUUGUAUUUGAAACACUUGUUUAAUUGACUGUACUUGUAUUCCUUAUUUGGUUGGACAAUAUUUAUGGUGUUCUUAUUGCUUUGUUGUUUACAUUACUGGUUGUUUCUUGUUGCCAUCACUACUAUUUGUUUUCCAUUAUUAUCGUAUAUUGCUAUAUUGCACAGUUUAUUUGACUAGUGAGUGACUUGACUCUACCUCGUCACUACUCUACCGAGGUUAGUCUUGAUACUUACUGCGUACCGACUGUGGUGUACUCAUACUACACUUCUGCAUAUAUUUGUGCAGAGUCAGGUAUUGGAGAUAUCGGACUCAGGAAGAGUUAUUGUGUUGAUCGCAAGGAUUCAAGGUAGAGCUGCUUGGUCGUUGCAGUCCCUUGGAGUCUUUCCAUUUUAUUGUACUGUCAAAUAUUAUUCAAACAAUAAUGUAUAUCCAAUCCUUGAGAUCAUUUCAUGUAUUCAGUUAGAGUUCAUGACUCAGUAUUACCAGUCUUGGGAGGUUGUUAUAAUUGUUUCCGUUUUUGGUUUCGAAACUUCUAUUAAAUUCUAUUUUAAAAAAUGACUUGAAUUGUUAUUGUAAUCAGCUUAUCUAGUCUUAGAGACUAUGUGCCAUCAUGAUGCUUGUGGUGGGAUUUUGGGUCGUGACAAGUUGGUAUCAGAGUCUUAGGUUCAUAGGUUCUACGAGUCACCAACUAGUUUAGUAGAGUCUUGCAGAUCAUUACGGAGAUGUCUGUACUUAUCUGUGAGAGGCUACAAAACUAUUAGGAAAUUUCCACUUCUUUCACUCCUUUCGUGCGAAUUUGUUGAUUUUUGAGUUUGAGCCCUUAUAUCUCUAUUCUCACACAGAUGGUGAGGACACGCGCUACCAGGUCAGCUGGACAGACACCCGCGCAACCUACUAGAGCCGAGAGAGGCCGUGGACGAGGUAGAGUUCAGAGAAGGGCACAUGUCGCAGCUAGAGCACCUGUCAAAGCAGCAGUUGAGGAACUGCCAGUAGCUCCGGUUGGGGGACAGGUACCUGAAGCACCUGUUGUUACCCUCGGACUUUAGGAGACUUUAGCACAGUUCCUGAGCAUGUUUGGUAUAUUGACUCAGGCGGGAUUGAUCUCUGUUGCACCAAAUAUUUCACAGAUUGGGAAAGUAUCUCAGACUCCUAGCGCGUGUACUCCAGAUCAGCGGGUUCACAUUGUUCCGGUUCCGGUUGUGGUGCUGGUACAACCUGUUAUUCCGGUUCAGCCUGAGAUUAGGCCAGGGGCAUCAGAAGAGGAUCAAAAGAGGCUUGAGAGCUUCAAAAGGUAAAGUCCACCUACUUUUCGUGGAACGGCUACCGAGGAUGCUCAGGGAUUUCUAGAAAAAUGUCACUGUAUUCUUUGCACCAUGGGUAUUGUGGAUGUGAGCGGAGUUGCCUUUACUACAUUUCAGCUGUCAGGAGCAGCAUAUCAAUGGUGGCAAGUUUAUAAAGAGGGCAGACCAGCCGAUGCAACACCACCCACUUGGGCUCCAUUUUCAGAGAUAUUUUUGAGGGAGUUUGUUCCUCAGACCCUCCGGGAUGCAUGGGGCACAAAGUUUGAACGGUUGUGCCAGGGCACCAUGACGGUGUCGGAAUAUGCCAUCAAUUUCAGUGAGUUAACCCGUCAUGCACCUACUUUAGUUCUUACACUCAGAGAGCGAGUCUGCAGAUUCAUUGAGGGGAUCAGUUAUGAUCUUAAAAUCUGCAUGGCUCGAGAGUUGCAGACUAAUACUCCAUUCCAGCAAGUUGUGGAGAUUUCAAGGAUGUUAGAGCAUGUUCGGGGUGAGGAAAGGGAGUCUAAGGAGGCCAAGAGGUCUCGAAGUUCUGGAGGAUUCAGUGGAUUCUACUCUGCAGGUAUGACUCAUUAUGGCAGAGGCUCGGACAAUCAGCCAGCCUAAUUCGCGCUUCAGACUACUCGUGGUACUCAAGUUAGUCAGGGUACUCAUGUGGGGUAGUCAUCUUUUAGUUCACCACCGGCACGGGAUUCUUACAGUAGUUAUUCCAGUUAUACGGCACAAACUCAGUAUGAGCAGCCGCGCCCGCAGAGGGGUUGUUAUGAGUGUGGUGAUACUAGGCACAUCAUGAGAGAUUUUCCCAGACUUGAGAGAGGUGGAUUUCAUCAAAGCACUCAAGCUACAGGCUCUGUUCCAGUUAAUACUCCACCUGCACAACCAGUUAGGGGUGGAGGACAGGCUGGUAGAGGGCGCCCUAGAGGGAUAGGCUUGGCCCAUUGAUAUAAUUUCUAUGGGAUGGCUGAGGCCACUACACCAUAUGGUGUUGUUAUCAGUAUGAUUUUGAUGUGCUAUAGAGGAGCACUAUUCUUAUUUUGAUUCAGUUCUGAUUAUCGAGGUGAGACCUCCUAUCAUGCUCCACAUUUGGUGAGUUUCGUGAGUUUGUACUCCGCUCAUGUGUUUAUCCAUGUUGGGAGAUUCUGUAGUGUUAGCCCAUGUCUAUCCUUUUGUUUAUGUUCACUACUGAGAGCUAUGAGGCUAGAAGUGACUUUUUGUUACUCAAUACAGUUAUUUUGAUGUGAUUUUCGGAUGAUUCGAUUGUAAAUUAUGAUUUAAAUGCCUACCGGUAUGGGGGCUCAUUAUGUAUUAUGAUUUUUGUUUAACAAAAAUAAUGGAAGGUUUUGAUUACUUUAUUACUUGUGAUUCAGAGUUAAGGAUGGGACCCUCGCGUUCCAUAUGGUUUGAUAUGUUUGAUCCGGGCUACGUACCGCGGGAAGUUAUAUCAGGAUGACAUCCUUGUGGUUAAUUCAUGUGUUUUAAUUCUCCCUUGUGAAAUUGAUUUGUAUUAUAGUACAGAUAUAGAGUUAUGCCUUUUGGGCUUAUUUGAUAGUUCUCUUAUGUGUUUCUCUUUGCAUAAUUAGUCAUAUUUGCGUUGUGUUUAUUGGGAUUUAGCUUAUGAAGUGUGUUCCUAGAUGGCAUUAAAAGUGACUCAUUGAUUCGGAUGAAUAAUUACAAGGUCUUCAGGUUUCUUACAUCGUUGUCAGUAUUGUGAUGGUUUGAAACAAGGUUUAACGUAAGAUGUGGUUAAUUGUCGGUGUUGUAUUUUGAUUAUGGGCAGUUAUUGUGGACAGAGUUAUUAUUAUGGGCCUAUGUAUGAUGUGUUACGUUAUGUGAUUGUGUCAUGCGAGAGUAGGCAUGAAUUGUUAUAACUGGUUUAGGCUGAUAUCGUGUGUUGAUGUGGAAAUCGGGUCUUUUAGAAAUGAUCAGAUAGUGAGAAAUAUGGUUUUAAGGUUUAUGAGUGUGGAUAGUAGAAAUAAUCUUCAAUUGAGAUGGUGUUAUCAGACUUAUUUCGAUUGGGGUGACAUGGGAUCACCCGCGAGUAUAUGUGUAAGAGUACGUUCAGUUAUUUGAUAACUUCGAAAUGGUUCCUAACACGUUCGAGUACAAACGAUUGUUUAAGAGGGGGAGAAUGUAACGAUCCGACCGGUCAUAUUUAGAAUUUACGUCUUAUUCAGCGGUUUGAGGGAUCGAGUAGCUUCAUAUCAUGUAUUAUGACUUAUAUGUGUGGUCGAGUUCGGUUUUCGGAUGAUUCAGGGUUAAUUUGGAAGAACAAUUAUCGUUUUAGAAGCUUAAGUUAAAAGAGUUGAUCGGAGUUUGACUUUUGUAUAGACAACUCCGGAAUGGUAUUUUGAUGAUUCCAAUAGUUUCGUAUGGUGAUUUUGGACUUAGGCAUAUGUCCGGAUUUGGAUUUGGAGGUUAGUAGGUGGAUUUGAUGCAUUUUGGCGUAAGUUGAAAAGUUGAGAGGUUUGACCGGGAGUUAACUUUGUUGAUAUCGAGUUCGGAUUGCGAUUCCGGGAGUUGAAAUAGCUCCAUUAUGUCAUUUGGGACUUGAAUGCAAAAUUUGACGUUAUUCUGGGUUGAUUUGAUAUGAUUCUACACGAGUCGUAGAAGUUCAGUGUUCAUAAGUUCAUUAUGUUUGAUUUGAGGUGCGAUUCAUAGUUUUGAUGUUGUUUGAUGUGAUUUGAGGCCUCCAGCAGGUCCGCGUUAUGUUAUGGGACUUGUUGGUAUGUUAGGACGGGGUCCCGAGGGGCUCAGAUGUGUUUCGGGGUAGUUUCGGACCAUUUCUAGGCCAUUUUUAGUUGCUGGUUUUUUUUCCACAGGGGUAUGCAUCGGGAUCGCGGACAUUGGGUCUUCGCGAAGAGCAAUUUGGCUGUUUGGGCACCUUGAAUCGCGAUCGCGGAAGCACUUUCGCGAUCGCGUAGAGGAAAAUUCUGCUGCACUGACCCGAGUUUGGAAGCUUAUAUCUUGCAAUCUAUAAGGAAUUUGGAGAUGAUCUUAAAAUGAAACUUGCAGCCCUUUGUGUCUAGUUUUUAGAAAAUCAAAUGGUUUGGCAUUUGGAGUUGUGUAAAAAACGUUAUGGUGGAUAUACUAAAGGUUGUCUGAAAAGAGCUUGGAAAUUACUGUUGAAGAAUUUGUUCAUCCUGACUUUGGAAGCUAAUAUCUUGCAAUCCAUGAGAAAUUUGGAGAUAACCCAAAAAUGAAAGUUGUAGCCCUUCGUUUCUCGGGAGAUUUUCAAGGAAAACAAUGGAGUAAGAAUUCCUAACUCGAUUUUGGUUAAAUAACGCGAAUCUAUUGUUAUUUUUAUCAACAAAUUAGUGAAUUGGGUUGAAAAUGGUUGAAAUUUUCAAGACUUUAAAUUGAGGAUUUGGAGGUCGAGUUGAUGUCAGAAUUUGGUAAAUUUGGUAUGCUUGGACUCGUGGUUGAAUGUGCAUUCGUAUUUUGUAACUUUUGUCAUUGUUAAUCAUUGUUACCUGCCUCAUUCUUUACUUGCCGAGUUUGUUUUUAUAUGCUUAUUUGGACUCGUUACUACUUUAACAUCUAUGUGAAACCUGUGAUUGUUGAGUUGCCACUUCAUGAAAGAUAUUUUCAUUAUUGAGUUUUUCCUUAAUUAAAUAAUUGGAAUUUAAGUAAUCAAGAGGCAUUAGUUUAUUUUACUUGAGGUUGUGUUUAAAAGAGAUAUUGUUGUUAUUGAGAUUUUAUAUACGUCGUGUUGAGCCGUGGGCUAUCUCUUGUGAAAUUGUUUGAUAUCGUUGAACCUUUGAAAAGGUUUUGGCCUACGAGAAUUUGCAAUACGAGUUGAUUAUGUUGUGUUGUUGUGAUAAUAGCAUGUGUGAAUUGUUGUGUGAUUUGGAUUAUUUAUUUGCGGAGUAUAAGGGUGACAUUCCACUGUUAUGAUCAUGUGGGGUAUAAGGGUGGUAUUUCACUGUUGCUAUAUGUGUUUUAAUAUUGUCUGGGCGGAGCGAUAAGCGUGGCUAUUAUACGGAGCGAUAAAAAGGCUAUUAUACGGAGCUAUAAGGAAGGCUAUUGAUAUUAUCUGGGCAGAGUGAUAUGAGUGGCUAUAGGAGAGAUAAGUGUGGCAAUGUCAGGGAUGAUAUGUGAUGAUGUGUGGUUAUUGUGUAAGUGAUUUUUAUGCGAUGAUGUGAUGUUAUUGUGUUGGUGAUUUUGUAUGAUGUUGUGAUUCUCCUUGUGUUUGUUAUACACUUUGCGUAACUUAACUUGUGUUUUCGGUUAGCUAAUUGAUAUCCUUGAUAUUCUCUUAUUGAUUUGGGUUUUAGUAAUAUACUUGCACAUGCAUACACUGUAGCAUGCCACCUAUACUAGCCCACAAGUACGUAACCUGAUAAUUAUCUGAUUCGUGUUGAAAUUGUGGGCACGAGGUGCCUUGAGUAUAUAAUGAUUAUGUUAUUGGCACGUGAACUGUCCGUGCAGAUGUGAUAUGAAAUGUUGGCACGAGGUGUCGUGAGUAUAUAAUGAUUAUGAUAUUGGCACGUGAACUGUCCGUAGAAUUGUGAUAUGAGAUGUGGGCAUGAGAUGCCGUGAGUAAAUGAUGAUUUUAUUAUUGGCAUGUGAGUUGUCCAUGCAGUUUUUAUAUGUUGAUAUUUUAGAACGUGAGUUGUCCGUACGGUUGUGAUAGAGAUAUGGGCACGAGGUGCCGUGAAAAUAUGAAAAUGGGCCGAGACCCGUAUUUUAUGAUUAUGAGAUGAGGUAACACGGAGUGCCUUUGUUGUGGAAAAACUUGUAUUUGAAAGACUUGUUUAAUUGACUGUACUUGUGUUCCUUAUUUGGUUGAACAAUAUUUAUGGUGUUCUUAUUGCCUUGUUUUUUAUAUUACUGGUUGUUUCUUGUUGCCAUCACUCCUAUUUGUUUUCCAUUAUUAUCGUAUAAUGCUAUAUUGCAUAGUUUAUUUGACUAGUGAGUAUCUUGACCUAAGUUGCUCCGACAUAGUGGUUUAGCUGUCGUACCCAUGUCGACACGAUAUUAGUAUGGGUGUGGGUCUGGGAUCCGUACAGAAUCUGGUAAAAUAAUUUGGGUACUUUGACCACGACGGACGAAAAAAGUCGAGACGAGGUACAAUUUGAAUCCCGAAAUCAAAACCAAAACUGGGGAAGAAAAUAACUUACUGUAUCUAGGAAAUCAAUCAUUUACUUAUCUACAACUUGAGAAUAAAAAAGAAAUCCACAUUUUACAAGUUAUAUGUAAGUAUUCCUCAAAUAUUUCUUAUAAUUUAGAGAUAGUUUUAUAUUUUUAUUUUCUUGAAUUAUUUUUAGCCGGGUCCCUGCACCCGUAUCCGUACUAGGAUUUCUAUACCCGAAUCUUAGAAUUUACAUAUCCGACCUCUAGAUUCGCACCCGUGUCGGACACCCACACCCGUGUCCGAGCAACAUAGGUCUUGGCUGUACCUUGUCACUACUCCACCGAGGUUAGUCUUGAUACUUAUUGGGUGCCGACUGUGGUGUACUCAUACUAUACAUCUGCACAUUUUUGUGUAGCACCAGGUAUUGGAGAUAUCGGACUCACGAAGAGUUAGUGUAUUGAUCGCAAGGGUUCAAGGUAGAGCUGCUUGGUCAUUGCAAUCCCUUGGAAUCUUUCCGUUUUAUUGUACUGUCAAAUAUUAUUCAAACAGUAAUGUAUAUUCGAUCCAUGAGAUUAUUUCAUGUAUUCAGUUAGAGUUUGUGACUCAGUAUUACCAGUCUUGGGAGGUUGUUAUAAUUGUUUCUGCUUUUGAUUUUGACACUUGUAUUAAAUUCUAUUUCAAAAAAAUGGCUUUAAUUAUUAUUGUAAUCGGCUUACCUAGUCUUAGAGACUAAGUGUCAUUACGACGCCUGCGGUUGGAUUUUGGAUCGUGACAAUAGUUUUAUCAAAGUUGGAAUAAACUUUAGGAAGGGUGUGUUUGUUUGUACAGGGGUGAUAUUUCGAGGGAGCCUGAGGUUGGGUCAAAGGGGUAGGUUGAGGGAUCUUUUCAACAGACUUUUUUGGGCUGGCAGAUCUGCGGUGUGGUGGAUUUCUGUGUUACUAAAUCUUUGCACAGGGGUUCAUUAGCAUUGGGUUGAGUUUCUAUGAUAACUAGACUAACAAGGGAAGCCUUAGAAUUCAAAUUACUAUUUUGCGUGUAAGAAUACCUGAUUCUUUGUAUUGAGUUGUCGAGGCAGCCUGCUGAUCUUUGGAUUGAAUGGGGUUGUUAGAAACAAUGUCCAUAGUAACAUGAGGCGCCUCCAAUUAGUUUGGAAUCAUGUGAUCAGCUGUAUCACCAUCUCCGACCAACUGUGACUUAGCUGAGUUUUGUAGGCAAUUAGAGCAAUCAAUUCCCACGUUGGAUUGAUGUGAAACUUUGAUGUGUAGAUCCUCAUGCUCCAAAAAAGAAUCUCCGUUGGAAUUGCCUGAAUUGAGCAAGAAUUAACGUUGGCAUUUUGUCGAACACCUGCAGCAUCCUCACGGUCUGGGCAUUCACUUUGAAAA
This 11593-nucleotide long non-coding RNA is filed under the name Nicotiana tabacum (common tobacco). Its description in RNAcentral is "long non-coding RNA (NTAB_LNC015505)". The record is from RNAcentral. Lineage: Eukaryota; Viridiplantae; Streptophyta; Magnoliopsida; Solanales; Solanaceae.